CAGCAGCCACGGUAAUACGAAGGGUGCAAGCGUUAAUCGGAAUUACUGGGCGUAAAGCGUGCGUAGGCGGUUUGUUAAGUCUGUUGUGAAAGCCCCGGGCUCAACCUGGGAAUGGCAAUGGAUACUGGCGAGCUAGAGUGUGUCAGAGGAUGGUGGAAUUCCCGGUGUAGCGGUGAAAUGCGUUGAGAUCGGGAGGAACAUCAGUGGCGAAGGCGGCCAUCCGGGACAACACUGACGCUGAGGCACGAAAGCGUGGGGAGCAAACAGGAUUAGAUACCCCCGUAGUCCCUGUCUCUUAUAA
This 301-nucleotide ribosomal RNA is filed under the name uncultured bacterium. Its description in RNAcentral is "partial 16S ribosomal RNA". It matches the Rfam family "Bacterial small subunit ribosomal RNA", at positions 509 to 809 of the family's 1533-position model. The record is from RNAcentral.